Molecule: long non-coding RNA, 210 nt
Filed under: Gossypium barbadense (sea-island cotton)
Lineage: Eukaryota; Viridiplantae; Streptophyta; Magnoliopsida; Malvales; Malvaceae
Description: long non-coding RNA (GBAR_LNC007809)
Source: RNAcentral
UCCCUGCCUCAGCCCUUAAACCCAGGCCACCGUCUCCGCCUCCAUGGCCAGUGGCCGGAGUUACGCGAGAACGGCCCCUUUGCCUUCCCUUUUUGAAGCGUCCCCGAAGGUUAAGCCUUCUUAACCGCGAGACCAGAAAAAAAGGGAUGGAACGCCCCUUUUGCUCAACUUCGACGACGAUGAAGACGGGCUCCGACGCCGGCCUCUGAA